RNAcentral lists this ribosomal RNA (456 nucleotides) under Triticum aestivum (bread wheat). Its description in RNAcentral is "partial small subunit ribosomal RNA". Lineage: Eukaryota; Viridiplantae; Streptophyta; Magnoliopsida; Poales; Poaceae. The record is from RNAcentral.
AUGUCAACUGCCACUGCUCCAGGAGUGUCCUUUGCUAAAUCCGGGGCUGGUUCCCGGGCCGUUGCUCCGGCGAUCAGGAGCGCUUCCUUCGUUGGUUACACCAAGCAAACACCAAACUUGUCAGGCCUAAGGAUGUCAAACACGUUCAGGGUGUCUGCCACGGCCGUGCACAAGGUGAAGCUCAUAGGCCCGGACGGAGAAGAGCACGAGUUUGAGGCCCCUGAAGACACCUACAUUCUCGAGGCAGCUGAAACUGCCGGAGUGGAGCUGCCAUUCUCUUGCCGCGCCGGAUCGUGCUCCACAUGCGCGGGCAAGAUGACGACCGGGGAGGUCGAUCAGUCGGAGGGCUCCUUCCUCGAUGAGAGCCAGAUGGGUGAGGGAUACCUUCUGACCUGCAUUUCAUACCCCAAGGCGGAUUGCGUCAUUCAAACCCACCAAGAGGAGGAACUCUACUAA